This 685-nucleotide ribosomal RNA is filed under the name Paratomella rubra. Its description in RNAcentral is "12S ribosomal RNA". Lineage: Eukaryota; Metazoa; Xenacoelomorpha; Acoela; Paratomellidae. The record is from RNAcentral.
AUUGAAUUGAUUUAAUUUAUACAUAAUAAAAUUUAUUAAGUAAAUUUAGUAAUUAGAUUUAAAUAAAAUUUAACAAUAAUAUUAUUUGAUUAUAAGUAAAUUAUUAGGGGGUAAAGAUAAGUGCCAGCAAUCGCGGUUAGACUUUUCUCUAGAUUAUGUUUAUAAAAAUUAAGUAAUAAUGGUAUUAUAUAUAAGUAAAAUUAGAGUGAGUAUAUAUUUCUUAAGGAUAAAACUAUAAAAUAAACUUGGAUUAGAUACCCAAUUAUUAUAGAAGUUGUAUUGUAGUAAAAUAUAUGUGUAAAUAUAUAAUAGAGUUUUGUAGGAAGUAAAUUAUAAAUCUGAUGGUGAGUGUUAAUAUUAGGGGAGUUUAGUUAUUUGAAUCUGAUAAUACGCAACAAAUUUACCUUAUUUAAAGUUUGUAUAUCUUUGUUUUUAUCUAAUUAUAAAUUAUUUAUAAAUUAUUUUUUUUUUAUCAGAUCGAGAUGCAGCAAAUAAGGGAAUAAUAAACUACGAUUGAAUAUAUUUUUUAAUAUAGUAUUGUAAUAUUUAUAUAUGUAAAGAACUUAAAAGUAAUUUUUUUUUAGUAUAAGGGGGUGAAUAGUAAUUCAUUUAUAUACAAACUGCCCAAUGAUUACCUUUCGGGUUUAAGUUGUCACAAGGUAAGUUUACUAGAAAGUGGACUUAG